Long non-coding RNA from Ooceraea biroi (clonal raider ant), 1167 nucleotides. RefSeq lists it as uncharacterized. The record is from RefSeq and is a predicted model, not a curated record. NCBI's taxonomy places the organism in Eukaryota, Metazoa, Arthropoda, Insecta, Hymenoptera, Formicidae.
CGACACUGCCGAUCACAGACUGAGCGAGUUGUAGUCGGCUCACCGCUAUUCUACUGACUGGACUGACAGUUCAGAGGACUGGAUUUACUAAGAAGGAAACGUCACGUUGCGCACGCGUAAAAUGACGCAAUGCUACGGCCAACGGAACGGUCUUUGCCAUCGAUCCAGCGCGAAGAGACUUUCUUCUCUUGUAUCUUUUGGAGAUCCACCAAUUGUGAGAUAUUGAAAGAAUGUCGAAGAGUGGGACAGAUAUUUCUGGAGCGACAUUCAAGAGCAGUAAUUCUCGUGUUUUAUAAUGCUGAAACUUUUUGACGACCAUCGGAAACAUAUCUCUUUCAACAUCAUCGACAGUCGAGAACAUCUAAAUUAGUAUAUUUUCGAUAUGUGUACAAAAGCACUAUUUAUAACAUAACAUCAACAUUUGUAUAUUAACUUUUCUGCAUGAGAAAAUAAUAUUUAAAAGUAAAUUUAAUGACAAAAAAAGAUUAAUUAAUUUAUAAAAUUUAAAGAUUUGGAAGAAUUCCAAUUUUUUCAGGACUAAAGAAAUAUUAAAAUACAUCAUGAGUAUUAUCAUCGAAAUAUAAUAUAACAAGCAUUUUGUGAGAAUCUAUAAAUAACAUGUAACUGAUACCCAACAUGAUUGAUAACGCGAUUGAUAAGAUACGUGACAAUAUUCGACGUGAAUAAUGUGAGUCUACAGGUCUACAGGAGAUAAAUUAGAUUAUCGAUAUAUGAUAUAUCGAUUUUGUCAAAAUAGUAGUCAAAAUGAUAAUUGCCAUCGGCACAGCUAGUGAAGAUGAGUCAGAUUGCGCGCAACUAGUCGCGCUCUGAUGCAACUUCUUCACGUGCUUGCAACGCGUGUAACAUUAACGGUGCUACGUGACAAAGAUCACCGAUUCUCUCUUUCAAGUUUGUGUGAUGCACAUUUCGAGCCUUUUUUUCUUACAACUUAUUGUGUGUCCCCCUUUCUCUCCGUUCACCGAUACCUGUUCCUCACCUGAAAACAGCUGCAGCUGACGUGAGCAGAUGCACGUAUCUGUUCUUCAUCCAGUUUUACUUUUACUUUUACCAAUCUUGCUUUUAUGCAAAGUGCAAUAUCGAAUCAUGUGAUGUGUAUUUGUGUUUUAAGCUUAAAAUGUAUUUUAAUAAAUAGACUGUGUUUUGACC